RNAcentral lists this non-coding RNA (30 nucleotides) under Mus musculus (house mouse). Lineage: Eukaryota; Metazoa; Chordata; Mammalia; Rodentia; Muridae. The record is from RNAcentral.
AACAGGACCAUGUAACUUGACUUGAAGUUC